GUGCUGGCUUGGGCAGCACACUUGCUGAAGUCGGAAUGACGCAGAGAGGAUCAGCACAGCUCCUGUGCAAGACUGACAUGCAAAUUUGUGAAGGGUUCCAUAUUUUG
Small nuclear RNA from Apodemus sylvaticus (European woodmouse), 107 nucleotides. NCBI's taxonomy places the organism in Eukaryota, Metazoa, Chordata, Mammalia, Rodentia, Muridae. The record is from RefSeq and is a predicted model, not a curated record.